This 310-nucleotide ribosomal RNA is filed under the name uncultured Neisseria sp. Its description in RNAcentral is "bacterial SSU rRNA". It matches the Rfam family "Bacterial small subunit ribosomal RNA", at positions 30 to 334 of the family's 1533-position model. The record is from RNAcentral. Lineage: Bacteria; Pseudomonadati; Pseudomonadota; Betaproteobacteria; Neisseriales; Neisseriaceae.
AUUGAACGCUGGCGGCAUGCUUUACACAUGCAAGUCGGACGGCAGCACAGAGAAGCUUGCUUCUUGGGUGGCGAGUGGCGAACGGGUGAGUAAUAUAUCGGAACGUACCGAGUAAUGGGGGAUAACUAAUCGAAAGAUUAGCUAAUACCGCAUAUUCUCUGAGGAGGAAAGCAGGGGACCUUCGGGCCUUGCGUUAUUCGAGCGGCCGAUAUCUGAUUAGCUAGUUGGUGGGGUAAAGGCCUACCAAGGCGACGAUCAGUAGCGGGUCUGAGAGGAUGAUCCGCCACACUGGGACUGAGACACGGCCCAG